RNAcentral lists this ribosomal RNA (549 nucleotides) under Triticum aestivum (bread wheat). Its description in RNAcentral is "partial small subunit ribosomal RNA". The record is from RNAcentral. Lineage: Eukaryota; Viridiplantae; Streptophyta; Magnoliopsida; Poales; Poaceae.
AUGGGCAGAAGUAACGUCAAUCCUAUUUGGGGUAAGAUCUGAAAAUUAGCUUGUCCGGCAAAGGUUAAUCUUUUUAUUUGGCGGACGCUUCACGGGACCCUACCGUGUCGCAUUACACUGGCCAACAGACAUAUAAAAACUCAGCCAAUAUGCCCAGCAUGUUUGCAUGGGCCAGAGGACAUGAAACAUAUAUUAUUUCUGUGCCAGAAGGCAAAGAAAGUGUGGGAAUAUUUGGGGUUGUAUGAAGUGGUGAAAAAAUCCUGUGUCAUUGAUCGUGCAGGAGAGGCGGUCCUUGAAUUCUUACUCCUUAUGCCUGAUCAUGAACUACAUAUCUUGGGCUCCCGGAAUGCAGGGGAACUAAUCGCUAUAGUUGCUUGGUAUUUAUGGUGGAAUAGACGGAAACUAGUCCAUGAGGGUAAUUCUCAAGAGGCGUCCCAAACCUCGAUGGGGAUUAGGGCUAUAACAGCGAACUAUGUAAAUGCCCACUCUCCUAAAGCAAAUAGAAAGAAUGAAGGAUGGUGCAUACCUCCAAGGGGUUUGUUAAAUUGA